This 29-nucleotide non-coding RNA is filed under the name Homo sapiens (human). The record is from RNAcentral. Lineage: Eukaryota; Metazoa; Chordata; Mammalia; Primates; Hominidae.
GGCGACAAACCUACCGAGCCUGGUGAUAG